Molecule: long non-coding RNA, 319 nt
Filed under: Pan troglodytes (chimpanzee)
Lineage: Eukaryota; Metazoa; Chordata; Mammalia; Primates; Hominidae
Description: long non-coding RNA NONPTRT003929
Source: RNAcentral
CCAUAUUAUUAUACAACCCAAGGGAGUUGGAAGGAUCCCCAAUAAUGACUGUAAAUUUCUUCCAAGCCCUGGGAUAUACAGCACUCACAAUCAUGUUUCUGUUGAAUUUUUUAAAUGAAAUAUGAAAUCUCUUGCAGAACGUAUUUUGUGAUUGCAAAUUUUUCCCAUUACACAAAUAAAAUACAUUUGAGGUAAAUGGGCUAGCCUCAUCUGGAAUAAGACACUUGGUUUAUUAAACAGCCUGUUGGCUAAUUUUUGGUUUUUCCUUUGUUUCCUGUAGAGACCACAGUUGUUUAAAGUGACUUCAGGGACCCCUGUC